Molecule: ribosomal RNA, 372 nt
Filed under: uncultured organism
Description: bacterial SSU rRNA
Rfam family: Bacterial small subunit ribosomal RNA
Source: RNAcentral
CGUAGGUGGCAAGCGUUGUCCGGAAUUAUUGGGCGUAAAGCGCGCGCAGGCGGUUCCUUAAGCCUGAUGUGAAAGCCCCCGGCUCAACCGGGGAAGGUCAUUGGAAACUGGGGAACUUGAGUGCAGAAGAGAAGAGCGGAAUUCCACGUGUAGCGGUGAAAUGCGUAGAGAUGUGGAGGAACACCAGUGGCGAAGGCGGCUCUUUGGUCUGUAACUGACGCUGAGGCGCGAAAGCGUGGGGAGCAAACAGGAUUAGAUACCCUGGUAGUCCACGCCGUAAACGAUGAGUGCUAAGUGUUAGAGGGUUUCCGCCCUUUAGUGCUGCAGCUAACGCAUUAAGCACUCCGCCUGGGGAGUACGGCCGCAAGGCUG